AUGAAUUCAAUGACGAGAAAAGUAAUUUUCGAUACUGUUCUACAGAGAGCCGGGGGAAGCUGAAAUCCGGUGAAUAGUACUUAAAUGAAGAUCCUCUCCGAGAAGUCAAACUGAAAACAUAAGUAGGUUUGAACGGGUGUCUACCGUUAAAAGGAACGCGUAUGAUUGUACGUGGCUAAGUGCUAUUGAAGAACGGACUUUUUUCAAUAGAAUUAGGGUGGUAUCGCGGUUAAACCCGUCCCUUAU
This 246-nucleotide non-coding RNA is filed under the name Bacillus sp. (in: firmicutes). Its description in RNAcentral is "Bacillus sp. T-box sequence". It matches the Rfam family "T-box leader". Rfam says of the family: Uncharged tRNA acts as the effector for transcription antitermination of genes in the T-box leader family. T-boxes are found upstream of many aminoacyl-tRNA synthetase genes and some amino acid biosynthetic genes usually in Gram-positive bacteria. Lineage: Bacteria; Bacillati; Bacillota; Bacilli; Caryophanales; Bacillaceae. The record is from RNAcentral.